Molecule: long non-coding RNA, 268 nt
Filed under: Mustela putorius furo (domestic ferret)
Lineage: Eukaryota; Metazoa; Chordata; Mammalia; Carnivora; Mustelidae
Description: lncRNA (ENSMPUG00000023923.1)
Source: RNAcentral
CACUAUCUGAUCUGGACCACACAGCAUCUCCAUGUGCCUUCUUCCUGCAGGUGGAAAUCUACCUAAGGAGGGGCGCCUUCCAGGACGAGCCUCAUUCCACAGAUAAGGAGACAGAGAUGGAGCCAAACUCAAAGAAUUCCCCAAACCAGGCUGGUGUUCUAACCAGGAUUCGAACUCUGCCAUCUGGAUCCUAACUGCGACAGUAUGUUUCCUAUUUCCUCCCAUUUUUAGGUAAAUUCCUCAUUUUACUUUUUUAUGCUUAUCAUUU